GAACGUACGCUGGCGGCACGCCUAACACAUGCAAGUCGAACGAAGUAGCAAUACUUAGUGGCAGACGGGUGAGUAACAUGUAGGUAUCUGCCCUUUGGCCUGGAAUAACACGAGGAAACUUGUGCUAAUACCGGAUAAGUCUUUACGGAGAAAGCUUUAUGCACCAUUGGAUGAGCCUGCACUUGAUUAGUUUGUUGGUAGGGUAAUGGCCUACCAAGACUGUGAUCAAUAGCUGAUUUGAGAGGAUGAUCAGCCACAUUGGGACUGAGACACGGCCCAAACUCCUACGGGAGGCAGCAGUGGGGAAUCUUGCACAAUGGAGGAAACUCUGAUGCAGCGAUGCCGCGUGAGUGAAGAAGGCCCUUGGGUUGUAAAGCUCUUUCGUCGGGGAAGAAAAUGACUGUACCCGAAUAAGAAGGUCCGGCUAACUUCGUGCCAGCAGCCGCGGUAAUACGAAGGGACCUAGCGUAGUUCGGAAUUACUGGGCUUAAAGAGUUCGUAGGUGGUUGAAAUAGUUGGUGGUGAAAUCCCAGAGCUUAACUCUGGAACUGCCAUCAAAACUUUUCAGCUAGAGUAUGAUAGAGGAAAGCAGAAUUUCUAGUGUAGAGGUGAAAUUCGUAGAUAUUAGAAAGAAUACCAAAUGCGAAGGCAGCUUUCUGGAUCAUUACUGACACUGAGGAACGAAAGCAUGGGUAGCGAAGAGGAUUAGAUACCCUCGUAGUCCAUGCCGUAAACGAUGUGUGUUAGACGUUGGAAAUUUAUUUUCAGUGUCGCAGGGAAACCGAUAAACACACCGCCUGGGGAGUACGACCGCAAGGUUAAAACUCAAAUGAAUUGACGGGGACCCGCACAAGUAGUGGAGCAUGUGGUUUAAUUCGAAGAUACGCGCAGAACCUUACCAACACUUGACAUGUUCGUCGCGACUCUAAGAGAUUAGAGUCUUCGGUUCGGCCGGACGAAACACAGGUGCUGCAUGGCUGUCGUCAGCUCGUGUCGUGAGAUGUUGGGUUAAGUCCCGCAACGAGCGCAACCCUCACUUUUAGUUGCCAUCAUUAAGUUGGGCACUCUGAAAGAACUGCCAGUGAUAAGCUGGAGGAAGGUGGGGAUGACGUCAAGUCCUCAUGGCCCUUACGUGUUGGGCUACACACGUGCUACAAUGGUAUCUACAACAGGAAGCAAGACUGCGAAGUUAAGCAAAUCCCUAAAAGAUACCUCAGUUCGGAUUGCACUCUGCAACUCGAGUGCAUGAAGCUGGAAUUACUAGUAAUCGUGGAUCAGCGUGCCACGGUGAAUGCGUUCCCGGGUCUUGUACUCACCGCCC
RNAcentral lists this ribosomal RNA (1321 nucleotides) under uncultured Alphaproteobacteria bacterium. RNAcentral's name for it is "bacterial SSU rRNA". It matches the Rfam family "Bacterial small subunit ribosomal RNA", at positions 27 to 1395 of the family's 1533-position model. Lineage: Bacteria; Pseudomonadati; Pseudomonadota; Alphaproteobacteria. The record is from RNAcentral.